CCUACGGGGAGCAGCAGUGGGGAAUUUUGCGCAAUGCUCGUAAGAGUGACGCAGCGACGCCGCGUGAAUGACGAAGGCCUUCGGGUCGUAAAGUUCUUUCGACAGGGAAGAAAAUGCCUAUAAGUAACUGUGUAUGUAUUGACGGUACCUGUAUAAGCAGUCCCGGCUAACUCCGUGCCAGCAGCCGCGGUAAUACGGAGGGGGCGAGCGUUGUUCGGAGUGACUGGGCGUAAAGAGCACGUAGGCGGUGUUGUAAGUCAUUAGUCAAAGACUAGAGCUCAACUUUAGUAAGGCUAGUGAUACUAUAAUACGAGAGUAUCAGAGAGGAUUGCAGAAUUCCUGGUGUAGCGGUGAAAUGCGUAGAUAUCAGGAGGAAUACCGUUAGCGAAGGCGGCAAUCUGGCUGGAAACUGACGCUGAGGUGCGAAAGCGUGGGUAGCAAACAGGAUUAGAUACCCGUGUAGUC
RNAcentral lists this ribosomal RNA (465 nucleotides) under uncultured bacterium. RNAcentral describes it as "partial 16S ribosomal RNA". It matches the Rfam family "Bacterial small subunit ribosomal RNA", at positions 338 to 795 of the family's 1533-position model. The record is from RNAcentral.